This 103-nucleotide Y RNA is filed under the name Peromyscus maniculatus bairdii (prairie deer mouse). RNAcentral's name for it is "Y RNA (ENSPEMG00000006885.2)". It matches the Rfam family "Y RNA". Rfam says of the family: Y RNAs are components of the Ro ribonucleoprotein particle (Ro RNP), in association with Ro60 and La proteins. Lineage: Eukaryota; Metazoa; Chordata; Mammalia; Rodentia; Cricetidae. The record is from RNAcentral.
GGUUGGUCCGAGGGUAGUGGAGUUUACAACUAAUUGAUCACAACCAGUUAACAGAUUUCUUUGUUCCUUCUCCACUCCCAUUACUUCAUUUGAACAGCUGUCC